RNAcentral lists this long non-coding RNA (914 nucleotides) under Bemisia tabaci. Its description in RNAcentral is "lncRNA ENSSSA1NGG004612". The record is from RNAcentral. Lineage: Eukaryota; Metazoa; Arthropoda; Insecta; Hemiptera; Aleyrodidae.
GAAAAUAAAGCAAAGGAAUAAACAGAGAAGAGACAAACUAAAUUUAUCAUUGUAUUUCUGUUGCAGGACAUGCGGUAGAUUGGCGCAAAGGACAGCUCUCAGUCGGUGUUGCUUGGAUCGAGUGAGGAGACACCGAAUGUUGCCGCAAUAAGGGUGCAAGGAUGAAGCCGAGCCUUUGACUUUUGGAUCUGUCUGUGAGCGGACGGAGCCACGUGAUUGGCGAGUCUCAAUGCACCUUAUGAUGUGGGCCCCGGUGCCAUCCGCGGAGCCGUGAUCCGUCGACGCGGUUUUGUGACGCAAUGGACACGCGGGUGCUUCGCGGCCAAACGACUCCGGAUUCGGAAUGAGCGCCUGUGCCGUUGGUGUUCCCGCGUGAAGUGCUCUUCUCCGGAGAGGCGAUUUUCCGCGGUGUCGCGAUGUCCAAGUGGCCAAGGACACUCCUCUCCGCUCGACCAAGUGCCCCGUCCAACUGAGACCCACAAAAUGCCUCUGCUUUUCGUCUUCACCGUGUCAUUCUUCUCAUUUUACGCUAAAGGUAAAUGCAAAUUUGGAACAGUUAUCAGUGUGUUUGAUUGUAGUCUGUGCGUAAUACGUUUAAUUUUCAGUAAGUAAUUUCUAUGCGUUUUUUACUUCAAUUAUUUACUAAUCUUGUUUACAUUGUACCAUAUACAUAUUUUAAACUCAACAUGAGCCAAAGGAUGUAAGAGAGAUGUAAAAAAAUCCCACGUAGUUCACCAUGGCUCCAGAAGUUCCUACUUUUCCUUUUUUCAACCGGAAAGGGAGAAAAAUCAGAAACAGGACACAAGUGCAAGUCGUUGUUAACAUAGUAAAACGUCGAUAUAGACAACAUAAACAGAGAUCAGAUAAAAACAAAACACGUACAGGCGAAGAUUGCUUAGCCUGCCAUAUUGAAG